Molecule: unclassified non-coding RNA, 150 nt
Filed under: uncultured Articulospora
Lineage: Eukaryota; Fungi; Ascomycota; Leotiomycetes; Helotiales; Helotiaceae
Description: sequence contains ITS2
Source: RNAcentral
UCACCCCUCAAGCUCAGCUUGGUGUUGGGGCCUGCCCGUCACAGGGCAGCCCCUAAAAUCAGUGGCGGCGCCAUCUGGCUCUACGCGUAGUAAUACUCCUCGCGACAGAGUCCCGGUGGUGUCCUGCCAGAACCCCCCAUCUUUUUUAAU